Molecule: small nuclear RNA, 107 nt
Filed under: Peromyscus maniculatus bairdii (prairie deer mouse)
Lineage: Eukaryota; Metazoa; Chordata; Mammalia; Rodentia; Cricetidae
Source: RNAcentral
GUGCUCACUGCAGCAGCACAUAUACUAAAAAUUGGAACAAUACAGAGAAGAUUAGCCUGGCUCUUGGCAAGGACGGCAUGCAAAUUUGUGAAGUGUUCCAUGUAUUU